GACGAACGCUGGCGGCGUGCUUAACACAUGCAAGUCGAACGGAAAGGCCCUGCUUUUGUGGGGUGCUCGAGUGGCGAACGGGUGCGUAACACGUGAGUAACCUGCCCUUGACUUUGGGAUAACUUCAGGAAACUGGGGCUAAUACCGGAUAGGAGCUCCUGCUGCAUGGUGGGGGUUGGAAAGUUUCGGCGGUUGGGGAUGGACUCGCGGCUUAUCAGCUUGUCGGUGGGGCAGUGGCUUACCAAGGCUGUGACGGGUAGCCGGCCUGAGCGGGUGACCGGCCACCUUGGGACUGAGGUACGGCCCAGACUCCUACGGGGGGCAGCAGUGGGGAAUAUUGCACAAUGGGCGGAAGCCUGAUGCAGCAACGCCGCGUGCGGGAUGACGGCCUUCGGGUUGUAAACCGCUUUCGCCUGUGACGAAGCGUGAGUGACGGUAAUGGGUAAAGAAGCACCGGCUAACUACGUG
RNAcentral lists this ribosomal RNA (468 nucleotides) under uncultured bacterium. Its description in RNAcentral is "partial 16S ribosomal RNA". It matches the Rfam family "Bacterial small subunit ribosomal RNA", at positions 28 to 507 of the family's 1533-position model. The record is from RNAcentral.